AGAGUUUGAUCCUGGCUCAGGACGAACGCUGGCGGCGUGCUUAACACAUGCAAGUCGAACGGUAAGGCCCUUCGGGGUACACGAGUGGCGAACGGGUGAGUAACACGUGGGUGAUCUGCCCUGCACUUUGGGAUAAGCCUGGGAAACUGGGUCUAAUACCGAAUAGGACCAUGGACUUCACGGUUUGUGGUGGAAAGCUUUUGCGGUGUGGGAUGGGCCCGCGGCCUAUCAGCUUGUUGGUGGGGUAAUGGCCUACCAAGGCGACGACGGGUAGCCGGCCUGAGAGGGUGUCCGGCCACACUGGGACUGAGAUACGGCCCAGACUCCUACGGGAGGCAGCAGUGGGGAAUAUUGCACAAUGGGCGCAAGCCUGAUGCAGCGACGCCGCGUGGGGGAUGACGGCCUUCGGGUUGUAAACCUCUUUCAAUAGGGACGAAGCGCAAGUGACGGUACCUAUAGAAGAAGCACCGGCCAACUACGUGCCAGCAGCCGCGGUAAUACGUAGGGUGCGAGCGUUGUCCGGAAUUACUGGGCGUAAAGAGCUCGUAGGUGGUUUGUCGCGUUGUCCGUGAAAUCUCACAACUCAAUUGUGAGCGUGCGGGCGAUACGGGCAGACUGGAGUACUGCAGGGGAGACUGGAAUUCCUGGUGUAGCGGUGGAAUGCGCAGAUAUCAGGAGGAACACCGGUGGCGAAGGCGGGUCUCUGGGCAGUAACUGACGCUGAGGCACGAAAGCGUGGGGAGCAAACAGGAUUAGAUACCCUGGUAGUCCACGCCCUAAACGAUGCGAACUGGAUGUUG
RNAcentral lists this ribosomal RNA (800 nucleotides) under uncultured bacterium. RNAcentral's name for it is "bacterial SSU rRNA". It matches the Rfam family "Bacterial small subunit ribosomal RNA", at positions 8 to 825 of the family's 1533-position model. The record is from RNAcentral.